Long non-coding RNA from Ictalurus punctatus (channel catfish), 1699 nucleotides. Lineage: Eukaryota; Metazoa; Chordata; Actinopteri; Siluriformes; Ictaluridae. The record is from Ensembl.
GGAUGGUAGAUAUACCUGAAUUCAGAUAUAAUUUGGAUGGUAGAUAUACCUGAAUUCAGAUAUAAUUGGCAACAUUUUGAUGUAGUUGUUGUUGACCAGGAAAGGGUGUAAGUGCUGAGAUUCUGUCAAUCGUGAUUUCUCCGUAAACAGCUCCUCUUUCAGAACUUUGUCGGUUUGAAUUAAAGACAUACUGAGUAAUCCAUGGCAGCCUGGUGUGUACAUUUUAAAUGUGGGCUCUAUUAAAUUAUCAUCAAAAGGAAUGCUAGCAGAUAAUGCAAAUGAGUCUCUUACAGACGUUACUCAUUCUGCCAUGCUUUUUCAUUAUCAUUAGUAUUUGUAUUCGUUUUUGCCAGUUUGUCCUCCUGUUCCUGAUCGUCAUUAGCGCAAUAUCUUAAGAAGGAGUAUCUAAAUCUGCGUCGAAUCCGUAUGGAAUUUUAUCGUUUCAACCAGCAGGUGAACGGAUCCAAUUUUGGAAUCGAUCCAGACAGGGUCAAGUCGAAUGUCAGAAAUGCUUUUUCGUCAGUAUCUUCCAUCAUGUUUGAAGUAUAUUUUAAAGGGUAUUUCUGGCAUAAAAAUGAGUAACAAGAAGGACUUAUUUUUUUUGUAGACGAGCGGUGCUUUAUCCACACUGCACUGUAUAUUAUACAUGGCUAUUUGUUAUUUUGUUGUUGUCAUGCUAUUGUGGCCCUUACUAUUAGUAAUACUCAGACAUGGUUGAACUUUAACCCAUGCAUUAUGUACUGUACGAUAGCGUGAUAAUUAGCAUUUGCUACCCGAUUUAAAAAAAAAAAAAAAAAACAGCAUUAAAUUGAAUUUGCUUAAUCCUGCAGAUAGCUUGUUUCAAAUCUGUGUUAGAAACAUGUUCUCGAAAGUGGACUCAGAGUUUUGGACUAAACUGUACGUGUAUUCAUAUUUGAGUGCUGAUUUUGGCAUCACUUAUUGAGCAGGAGAAAACACCGAAGUAAGGAAAUUAAUUUAAAGUUUGUAGGCAGUUUCCGAUGGUGUGUACGUGUGUGUGUGUGUGUGUGUGUGUGAGUGUGGCGUGUCGGCGUUGCUGAGGUGAUGGAACACAGGAUUGUAUUCUGUAGUUAAUGUAGAACUGUCACUAAGCAAUAAGCUGUGGAUCUGAUGCUCCUUGGAGACUCGUGUAGAGAGAGAAGCAGUUUCACUCUCUUUCUGCUCAUCUGAUUCGUUCUCUCUCUCUCUCUCUCUCUCUCUCAUCCUUUUUCUUUCUCCCUUGCCAUUUCUUUAGCGCUGGUGCCAUCUGUUAUCUCUGUGUCUGAGCUUUGUAAAAGAGCGCCUGUCUGUCUCGAACAUUCCACUCAGACACAUACACAAUGAAUGGGGGGAUUUUUUUUUUGUCUUGUGUUUUUUUUUUGUUUUUUUCAUGGCGCAAAAAUGGGAAUGAAAAUAUACAGACAAGGCAACAUACAUACAAUAUAUAUAUAUAUAUACACCAUACUUAUUAAUAUAUAAUAAAUGAUAGAUUAUAGCUCAGAGAUCAGUGAAUAAAUAGUGUAAUAAUAAAUAGAUAUAAAUUACUUACAUACUGUAGAUGUUGACGGAAUGUUACUGAAUUAUUCUUUACUGGAGUAAAUAUGCGAAGCGGCUUUUUAGAGAAUAAACAUACGCGGCGAAAAAUCUGAGAAAAUCACUUAAUGAUGAUAAAGCAAUUGGAGGCCGAGAGUUAUGUUUUAAC